GCGACUUCCCUGGCCCUCCCCCUGCGGACCAGUGAACCUCGCCCGAGGGCUCAAUAAAGAAGAUUUUUGCCCUCUUUUUCUCACCUCUCAGCCUUAUUGAUCCAUGGUGCCCUUCCAUUGCCUUUCAUUGGUGCCGAAACCCGGGAGGGGACACCUCCUAAGCCCCCCCAGAGGCUCAGGGGGACUCCCCUCCUGGUCGGAUCAGUCCUCUCCCUCAGUCAGGUCAGGCUUCUCCUCCACGGCCAUCUGUCCAUUUCGUCCGGUUACUUGCUGCCAGGUCGCAGUUGCUGCAGCUACUCCAGUCCAAUUCGGCCGACGCUAGGGGAAGUCCAAAUCGGCACUGACGACUCAGAGACGUCCAUGUCUGAAGUAGCCGAUCCGAGGCUCCAGGAGCCGCGUGGUCUGAGUGACCCCAGAGGGAUGCUUCUGCUGUCCCUCAGACCGCUGCCAUAAGGGGAAGAGGAUGGGGUCCACCCAGUCCAAAAUCACGCAAAACACCCCCUUAGGGUGCCUUCUGCGCAACCUCCCAACUUUACAACUCAAUCAAGAUUUAAAAUGAAAGCGACUAAUUUUCUUCUGCACAGUUGCCUGGCUGCAAUAUACCUUGGACAACCAAUCUCGCUGGCCCCCCAAAGGCACACUCGACUUCAAUAUCCUAAACGACCUUACCAAUUUUUGUCAGAGGCGAGGCAAAUAGUCAAAAAUCAAAUUUGUUCAAAGGUUCUGGGACCUCCGCUCUCGUCGGACCGCUGCCGCCAAGUGUUUUCGCUGGCACAAGUCCCUGUGGCUAGCCUUCCCCUUGAAGUCUGGCCAGCCUCUCUUGCCGUUAAUCCUGUCCGGGGCCCCCAUCUUAGUCUCUCUGCCGCCAUCUCCUUCUGCACUGCCGCCAUCUUACUACCUGCUUCCUCACUGCCGCCAUCUUACUUCCUUUUUUCUCUGCUGCCAUUUUAGUUCUUCUGCCACCAUUCGGCUGCCAUUUUAAUUCCCAUUAGUUCCCAUUUGUUCUUUUAACCCUGCCCAGCUAACUCCUUGGCUUCCAUCUUACCCGCAUUCUUAUUUCCACCUGCCUAUAGUGCCAUACCAGUCCACUGCAUCUACAACUCCUAACACAUUCGCUGCGGGCAGUGAUAUCCACUAAUCCUGGAUGAGGCAGCGGAGGGCCCCCAAACCCCUAUCCAGGACUUAGUAAAGCUGGCGUUCAAAGUUUUUAAUUCCUGAGAGGAGGCGGCUGAGGUACAACGACAGGCAAGCCUGAAACAAAAAGUUCAGCUCCAAACCCAAGCCCUGGCAGCUGCCCUGCAACCGGCAUUCCCUAAGAGCCGCGGCAGGAGAGGUAGAGGUACAAUCUCCCGGGCCCCGUCUGGCGUCUGCUUCAAGUGAGGCAACUCAGGACACUGGGCCAGCCGGUGCCCUAGCCAACAGCAACCGUCCUGCCCGCCUUGCAACUGUUUCAAGUGUGGCAAUCCAGGUCAUUGGGCAAAACAGUGCCCAAACCCCAAGCCGCCAACACACCCGUGCCCUAACUGCCAACAAAUGGAGCACUGGAGGUCAGACUGCCCCAGCCUCGGAGCGGCCGCUGUGGCUCCACAUGGCGACCCCUCCCUGGAUGGCGAAGGUGCCCUCUAGCUCCUCCAACUGGAUGACGACUGAAGAGGCCCAGGCUCGGGAACCCCUCUCACCCUUGCCGAGCCCAGGGUAAUGCUUCAGGUAGCGGAUCAACUGAGAUGCAAAACCCAUGUUCACAUCAUGAGUGAGUCUUCUAACUCGGACAAUGCAAUCAACAAAUUCUAAGACCAAAUUCCGGUGGCACUGGCUCCAAAGCUCCUGAGUGUGGAAGGAGGUGAACAGGGAAAAGCAGAGAGGACAAAAGUCACAUCCCCUCCCCACAGACCCAUACUGGGGAAGGGUGGAAGAUUUAGCUGCGAGUCAAGUUCAGAAUUUUGAUUAACAUCUUGGCAUGCACAUUCGAAUUUCAGAAUCAAGACUGUUGGCCAUAAAAAAUGACUAUAGCCUUGUGUAUUACCUGAACUGAGCAGUAAAAAAAAAGUCAUGGUCCUUCUGGGGCUUUUAUUCUGAGACAGGAACCCUGAACAGGCAGGAGAAAGGGAAUGUUGACAGAGAAACAAAGACAGUUGGCGACACACGCUGACCGCCAUGCGGACGUCCAUCAAACCCAGCACUGGCCCUGGGUACGUGCGCCUUUGCUAUUACCCCAAUACAUUUUCUUCUGCAGAGCAAGCAACAGAACACAUGCAGACCUUAAUAAAUACCACUGGGUAAUGUGACAAUGGCCAAACUCUCCUCACGGGGGAGAGAGUGUCCCCCAGUUUUGCUCCCUUUUAAUUUCCAGGGUUCAUAAGUAGCUCUAAAGCUUUGCUCUACAAGGUUGAUACAUACGAUAUUAAUGUUUCCCCUAAGCAGUAUAACAUAAAUAUAUUUGCUAUCUUGACAUUCUGGGUUUGGUUUUUCAGUGUUGGCGUAAGUGGGUUUUAUACUUUCUGGAACAAGAGUUCAUCACCAAAGGGAAAAUGCUGUCCACCCCACCCUCUUUGAAAGAAAAGGCUCAGCCCAUAGUUCUCCAGAUGAAAGAAAUGUACCUAAUCAGCUAUUUCCUGUUGCUUGAUUGGAUGUUAACAAUGGAGAUAGACACACAGCUAAUUGUGGUGGCACAGCAGGAAGCCUAAUUCACUUUGCUGUAGAAAUGCCCACACAGAGAAAGUGGGAGAUGGCUGCACAAGAGGCCCCAUAGGCAGGCAAAUGCUUACUGCAGUUUCUUUCCCAAACAUUUCCAAAUAGACCAAAUAAACAUGAAUUUGCUCACUGUAGUUUAUAUUCCAAAUAAAAAUGAAUUUCUGGCCA
This is a long non-coding RNA of Homo sapiens (human), 2859 nucleotides long. Ensembl annotates it as long intergenic non-protein coding RNA 1287. The record is from Ensembl. NCBI's taxonomy places the organism in Eukaryota, Metazoa, Chordata, Mammalia, Primates, Hominidae.